This 395-nucleotide unclassified non-coding RNA is filed under the name soil metagenome. RNAcentral's name for it is "partial contains 5.8S ribosomal RNA, internal transcribed spacer 2, and large subunit ribosomal RNA". The stretch from base 1 to 120 matches the Rfam family "5.8S ribosomal RNA", at positions 35 to 154 of the family's 154-position model. The record is from RNAcentral.
GAUGAACAACGUAGUGAAAUGCGAUAAGUAAUGUGAAUUGCAGAAUUCAGUGAAUCAUCGAAUCUUUGAACGCACCUUGCGCCUUUUGGUAUUCCGAAAGGCACACCUGUUUGAGCGUCAUGAAUACCUCAAUCUCCAUCUUUUCUUCGGAUUGAUGGGUGACUUGGAUGUUGAGCCCUGCUGGUAUGCUAUAUCAGCUGGCUUUAAACUUAUUAGCCGGCUCUGUACUGGAUCGGUUUGACUCGACGUGAUAAUAUUAUCGUUGAGGAUGCAUGUCUCAUGCAGCCGGAAAGUAUCAAAGCAGCUUCUAGCUUGCCUUUAGUGCACUUUUACAUUUUAGACCUCAGAUCAGGUGGGACUACCCGCUGAACUUAAGCAUAUCAAUAAGCGGAGGA